Long non-coding RNA from Penaeus indicus, 318 nucleotides. RefSeq lists it as uncharacterized. The record is from RefSeq and is a predicted model, not a curated record. NCBI's taxonomy places the organism in Eukaryota, Metazoa, Arthropoda, Malacostraca, Decapoda, Penaeidae. The transcript is spliced from 3 exons.
GAACACAGGCGUCAGGAUGUGAAAAAGUGUGUGGGAAGGCUUCAGAAAGUGCUGGGGCGCCAAAGAUCGUGGGCGGGGAAGCAUCGACCCCUGGAGAAUACCCCUGGAUGGUUUAUCUGAACAUCUUUGAUGGCAUGAAAUCCUCCUUCUGCGGUGGAUCCAUCCUCACGACAACUCACAUUAUAACGGCAGCCCACUGUGUCAAUUACGAUAGUCCACAGGUAAUAGUUGUAGCAGGCGAGCACAAUAUAAAAACAGAUGACGAAAUUGUCACACAGAUCAUUCGUGGUAAAAAAAUCACGAUGCAUCCGAAGUUCA